AGGGAAUCUUCCACAAUGGACGAAAGUCUGAUGGAGCAACGCCGCGUGAGUGAUGAAGGUUUUCGGAUCGUAAAACUCUGUUGUAAGGGAAGAACCAGUACGUCAGGCAAUGGACGUACCUUGACGGUACCUUAUUAGAAAGCCACGGCUAACUACGUGCCAGCAGCCGCGGUAAUACGUAGGUGGCAAGCGUUGUCCGGAAUUAUUGGGCGUAAAGCGCGCGCAGGUGGUUUCUUAAGUCUGAUGUGAAAGCCCACGGCUUAACCGUGGAGGGUCAUUGGAAACUGGGAGACUUGAGUGCAGAAGAGGAAAGUGGAAUUCCAAGUGUAGCGGUGAAAUGCGUAGAGAUUUGGAGGAACACCAGUGGCGAAGGCGACUGCCUGGGCCAACACUGACACUGAGGCACGAAAGCGUGGGGAGCAAACA
Molecule: ribosomal RNA, 426 nt
Filed under: uncultured Caryophanaceae bacterium
Lineage: Bacteria; Bacillati; Bacillota; Bacilli; Caryophanales; Caryophanaceae
Description: bacterial SSU rRNA
Rfam family: Bacterial small subunit ribosomal RNA
Source: RNAcentral